GUGGGGAAUAUUGGGCAAUGGAUGCAAGUCUGACCCAGCCAUCCCGCGUGCCGGAAGAAGGCCCUCAGGGUUGUAAACGGCUUUUGACGGUGAAGAAUCGAUAGGAUGCGUCCUGUUUUGACGGUAGCCGUUGAAUAAGCACAGGCUAACUCCGUGCCAGCAGCCGCGGUAAUACGGCGGGUGCGAGCGUUGUCCGGAUUUAUUGGGUUUAAAGGGUGCGUAGGCUGGAAGGUCAGUCAGCGGUGAAAAGCUGUCGCUUAACGAUAGUCUUGCCGCAGAUACUUCCUUUCUUGGAUGAGGAGGAGGCCACUGGAACGGAUGGUGUAGCGGUGAAAUGCAUAGAUAUCAUCCAGAACACCGAUUGCGAAGGCAGGUGGCUGUACCUUAAUCGACGCUGAUGCACGAAAGCAUGGGGAGCAAACAGGAUUAGAAACCCUGGUAGUCC
Molecule: ribosomal RNA, 445 nt
Filed under: uncultured bacterium
Lineage: Bacteria
Description: partial 16S ribosomal RNA
Rfam family: Bacterial small subunit ribosomal RNA
Source: RNAcentral